GAGUAGUUUAGUGGUUGGAGUAUUAGCCUCCAACACUAAUGUACUUGGGUUCGAAUCCUGUCAGUGACA
Sphenostylis stenocarpa is the source of this 69-nucleotide non-coding RNA. NCBI's taxonomy places the organism in Eukaryota, Viridiplantae, Streptophyta, Magnoliopsida, Fabales, Fabaceae. The record is from the annotation of a GenBank genome assembly.